CAARCGACUCUCGGCAACGGAUAUCUCGGCUCACGCAUCGAUGAAGAACGUAGCAAAAUGCGAUACUUGGUGUGAAUUGCAGAAUCCCGUGAACCAUCGAGUUUUUGAACGCAAGUUGCGCCCGAAGCCAUUCGGCCGAGGGCACGUCUGCCUGGGCGUCACGC
This 164-nucleotide ribosomal RNA is filed under the name Olearia lirata. RNAcentral describes it as "5.8S ribosomal RNA". It matches the Rfam family "5.8S ribosomal RNA". From Rfam's summary of the family: 5.8S ribosomal RNA (5.8S rRNA) is a component of the large subunit of the eukaryotic ribosome. It is transcribed by RNA polymerase I as part of the 45S precursor that also contains 18S and 28S rRNA. The record is from RNAcentral. Lineage: Eukaryota; Viridiplantae; Streptophyta; Magnoliopsida; Asterales; Asteraceae.